Molecule: long non-coding RNA, 2449 nt
Organism: Felis catus (domestic cat)
Lineage: Eukaryota; Metazoa; Chordata; Mammalia; Carnivora; Felidae
Exons: 11
Source: RefSeq, a predicted model, not a curated record
AGGCUUAGCAGAAGCUACACCCGGAUUCCUGCAGCUGAACGGAUGUAACCAGCAUUUGGGCUUUUCUAUUCAGUUACCUCCUUGUGAUAUGCUGUGUAAUACAGGAGGGAGUGAGAAUGGGAAAUCCGAUGACUUCAGGAGUUCAAGGAAGAAAUUCAUGGAAGAGAUUGGUGAUGAUGUCAGCAAGAUCUGCAGACCCACACAAGGUUUCCAUGUGUUUCUUCACUCAGUUUCACUCUUCCCUGGUGGGCAAUAAAUCUGGAAGACAGUAAUUCCCAGAGUUAAGAUGAGAGUAACACAGGAUGUUUGCAGAAGGGUUGAAUAUUUCAAAGGAUAACUGCCAAUACUUCCUUAAAAAACCAACCAACCGACCGACCAACCAACCAACCACAUGAACUCAGGUCUGCAUGUAGGCUGUGAUUCUGCGGGGCUCUGCUGGAUCGGCUUGCUUGAUUCCAGGCCCAGGUCUGUUGUAUGUAUCUCCUCAUCCUGGGACCAUUGGCUACGCAAGGUUUGAUCUUCUCACGGUCGAUGGCGGAAGUUCAAGAGAUCAAGCUGAGUCACAGAGGCACAUUUAAAGCCUCUGCUUCUAUUGCAUCUACUCACACUACUGGCCACAGCAAGUCACAUGACCAAGACUGACAACCACGGGUCAGAAAGAAUACUCUACCCACAGUGAGAAAAUGUCAAAGCCUCAGGCCACGGGCCCACUUCUCUGCCAGGAGGAGACGACCACUCAGGCUGACCCGGCACACAUUCUGGGACCACAAAGGAAAAAGGGUCUUCAGAAUAGAAGUUUUGCUGCAGCAGCUUAAACUAUCCCAGGACUUUUUGGUCUGAUCUUGUGCUAGUUUGGCAUCAUUAACCGCCAGUCUGGAGUUUGGUGCCUAAGAUGUUCUCGGUGAGUGUGAGGUGCUUGGUUGGUGUUUAUCGAAUGGAUAAAUGAGUGACUGAACACAUGAAUGGAAGAAACAUACCCACUGAAGCCAGCGAGUGUGGAUGGGAACAACCACAAGUGGCCCCUCAGUGUCUCUUGGGAUUUCCAAGAGAAUGGAAAUGUCACAUGAUUGAUGCCUUUCCAGCUCUGUGUGGAUAAGUACAAAGAGCUGCUUCCAACCAUCUCUUCAUUUCCUCCAGUUCUUCAGUCCCCAUCAGUGUCUCUGUGCCCCGGAAGACUGAAAACUCGGAGAGGUCAAAGAUCACACUUGUUUUGUGCACACCUUGUCUCCAGUACCCGGCACAAUGCUUUCUACACAAGAAAAAUGACAGGGACUCACUUUCCAAGAAAUUACACUAUGUUCAAUGACUUCCCAUCAAGAGUAAGCAGUGUUCCGUAUCCUGCCAUUGAAUGAAGGGGCUCAAGGACUUUCCCAGAUGAUGUCAGUUGCCAUUUCUGGAUGAAUUCGCAGUUAAGCACCAUCUUGGGACCUAGGACAGCUGAACAAGCCAUUCCUCCUGGGACCCUUCUCUGCAGGACGGUCUCUCCUGGUUGGAAUGACUGGUAAGAGGUUUGUGGUUUCUUCAGAGCGAUUGGUGAGAUUUCACCAAGGGUGGCGCUUUUCCUCCUCCACGUGGGCACUGCCUACCUCAUGGUAAACCACCUCUCCAGCCAGCAGGUGGGCCGGCAGGCAGUGCCCAGGACGAACUGUGGAAUUUCCCUUUGCCCACUCUCUCCAACAAAACAAAGAAAAAGCCUUGCCGACACUUAAAAAUCAGAUUUCCAGUGACCAUCUGGAUCCCCUGGCCCCACGGGAAGACUGCACUGUGCCUGCAUACUCACGUGCAAAACCAGGCAGCACCCACGAUGGAAGGGUCUGGGACCCCUGCCACACAGCGCGGCUCUGACCCGGCAGGUGUUGGCCAGCAGCCGUUGCCAGUACACCCUCCUACUCCAUCCCCCCCUUGGGUGCUGUAGGGGAGCUUGCGUCCUGAGUCCCCGGUAGACUGGGCUGUGUCAGGGGACAGGCUAAAGCCCUACACGUCUGUACUCUGCCCCUUCCUGGCAAAGAGAUCAAGGUUCCAGCUGGUGUCCAUGCACCAGCCAGGGAACGAUGAAGGCAGUGCAUCCACCUGCCCCCUUGCCCCGUCCCCCGACAUCUGGGGCCUUGCUGGUUCUGAAUGUGCUGGCCUUUUAAAAGUUAAACUGCCAUGGGGAAAUGAAGUCCAAAUGAUGCCUUGAUCUGACCAGAAAGGUCUCUUUCCAAAGGGAGGAAAGGGCACCCUUGUGACCCACGGGGUCUAGGCCAUGCUUUCUGUCCUCCCUGGAGACCGUUUGGCGAGACUUGGGCAGGCUGGUUGGGAAAUCGCACCGCAUGCCCCAGCCUCUGGCAUGAGUGACUUCAGACCUGGUCAGUGACUCAGUGCCCCAGGCGCUGCCCUUCCAACUCUGACAGGGUUUCCAGGAGCUUGUGAUUAAUCGCUCUCAGAUUAAAAGAGAGUUCAACUAUUA